Long non-coding RNA from Sphaeramia orbicularis (orbiculate cardinalfish), 333 nucleotides. RefSeq lists it as uncharacterized. The record is from RefSeq and is a predicted model, not a curated record. The transcript is spliced from 3 exons. Lineage: Eukaryota; Metazoa; Chordata; Actinopteri; Kurtiformes; Apogonidae.
CUCAACCCGGAGGACGGAGCUGGAUCGUCGGACUCCGUAAUGCAACGGCACUGGGACUGCAUUUGGACCGGAUCAUUUACUAGACACUGGAAUACGAACUUUCAGCAGCAACAGUCGAACUGAUCAACCUGACCUGCUGCUGAUUGAUGGAGCCCACUGACGUCACUGUCUCUCCAUUCAAACUCCGCACGCAGACUGAAAGUGUUUCAUUCCAAACACAGUCUGGGAGGGUGGUCCAGGACCGCAGCCUCUGUAGACCAGCAGUAGACCCAGAGGACCAGGACCAGCAGGGGGGGCAUGUGGUCCAGGAUUUGACCCAUCAGGCUCUUCUAG